This 473-nucleotide ribosomal RNA is filed under the name uncultured bacterium. RNAcentral describes it as "bacterial SSU rRNA". It matches the Rfam family "Bacterial small subunit ribosomal RNA", at positions 29 to 507 of the family's 1533-position model. The record is from RNAcentral.
AGUGAACGCUGGCGGCGUGCUUAACACAUGCAAGUCGAACGAGAACGGGUUAUAGCUUGCUAUAAUUGUCAGCUAAGUGGCGCACGGGUGAGUAAUGUAUAGGUAAUAUGCCUCUUACUAAGGGAUAACAAAUGGAAACGUUUGCUAAUACCUUAUACUCCUUAUUAACAGAAGUUAAUAAGGGAAAGAUUUAUUGGUAAGAGAUUAGCCUGUAUUGUAUCAGUUAGUUGGUGGGGUAAUGGCUUACCAAGACUAUGACACAUAACUGGUUUGAGAGGAUGAUCAGUCACACUGGAACUGAGACACGGUCCAGACUCCUACGGGAGGCAGCAGUGGGGAAUAUUGCACAAUGGACGAAAGUCUGAUGCAGCAACGCCGCGUGGAGGAUGGACACAUUUCGGGUGCGUAAAACUCCUUUUUAUAUAGGAAGAUAAUGACGGUACUAUAUGAAUAAGCACCGGCUAAACUCCGUG